AACCACUACAAACAACGCAGGGAAACUUUACAAAAGCCUCUUACUUUUAAAACUGUUAAGGAAUUCAUUGGGUUUUUCGAAAUGUUUUCAUUUAUUUUAUAGGUAUAAACAUUAAAGCUGUUAUUACAUUUCUCUUUCAAAUAUACAGGUAUAUAUAACAUGUAAUACUAAAAUUUGUUUAACUUAUAAAAAAGGUUAAAAACCUUACAAUAAAACAAGGAAACAAAAAGACAUAACACAAGAUCUGUCCUCCACAGAAGAAAAUGCUCGCAUUUCCUCUCCUUUCUCCAUUAAUGCUGCAUUAGUGCGGUGUAGGCAGAGACGUGCUUCCGCCAGGAAAAACCUCAUUAGUCUCUGGAAGAAUCACUGCCCGCCUGUCUCAUUGUCUCCCCAGCCAUUGCAAGCACAGUCCUUAAGGUGUUAUGCUCCCUGGGGAAUCUGAAUCCACUUACAUGCUCCCCUGUGGGCUGCGGCACUUAACUUCCCUUGUCCUCAAGUUUGGUUAAUGGGCUGGGAAGCGUUGACUGACACUGCUCCAAGGCCAGCAGACAUGAGGCACUGCAAGUUCUGCUCUCAAAGGGGCUUGGAGGGAAGGAGUUGGAAAAAAGGAAUCAUGAAGCAUGAGAUUCACAGGUUCCUUAAUUCAUUCUCUAGUUUUCUCCCAAUGUGCUUGUAGUGACAGAAAAACUCAACUCGUCUCACAACUCAGAGGUACAAUGAAAAGGAGUUUUUUCCUCUGUGAUUGGAACUUUCUCUUGAGCCCUUUCCCUUAGGGGAUACUAGGAGACAAUUACAUCUCUAAUUCAACCUAAGUUUAUUCCCUUUUAGUGGGGUUCAAUUUCUGUUAGCCAAAAGUGCUCAGUCCCUCAAACAGCUUAUCUUUUGUUGUUUCUCUAAGAUUGUGUAGAAUUUGGAAAGGGUAUAGCUUAUUUGACCUUAUGGCUUUGUGCGGAAGCCGGGGUCCCCAGUAGAUCUCCUGGCUUCUGGAUAAUGUUUCUUUGCUGCUGGGUUGCUAGGUGCCUCAUUGGCCUCCACUGCCAACUUCUGGGUGGUUAUUACUUAGGGUUGUGACUAUUGCUUGGGCAAUGCACCUGCAGGUGCUUUCUGGGCAAUUCCAUUUCAUCCGGCUCUUGAUGGCAACAUCAGCACCUUGGGGACACUCUGCGAUAUGUGUUUUGCUUCUGUUUUUUGUCCCGGAUUUUCUGCAGGGUCCCCUGUCUCAAUAAGGAAAACUCCUUCUAUCAGUUUAUCCAGGGUAGGCAGGCAGGUACUUCUAG
Molecule: long non-coding RNA, 1277 nt
Filed under: Homo sapiens (human)
Lineage: Eukaryota; Metazoa; Chordata; Mammalia; Primates; Hominidae
Description: HSALNT0086346
Source: RNAcentral